RNAcentral lists this ribosomal RNA (419 nucleotides) under uncultured bacterium. RNAcentral's name for it is "bacterial SSU rRNA". It matches the Rfam family "Bacterial small subunit ribosomal RNA", at positions 109 to 513 of the family's 1533-position model. The record is from RNAcentral.
AGUAACGCUUCGGAAUCUACCUGAUGGUGGGGAAUAACCAGCCGAAAGGUUGGCUAAUACCGCAUACGUCCCCCUUGAUAAAAGGGGGGGAAAGCGGGGGAUCGCAAGACCUCGCGCCGCCAGAUGAGCCGAAGCCGGAUUAGCUAGUUGGUAGGGUAACGGCCUACCAAGGCGACGAUCCGUAGCUGGUCUGAGAGGACGACCAGCCACACUGGGACUGAGACACGGCCCAGACUCCUACGGGAGGCAGCAGUGGGGAAUAUUGGACAAUGGGGGCAACCCUGAUCCAGCGACGCCGCGUGUGUGAAGAAGGCCUGCGGGUUGUAAAGCACUUUUAGUGGGGAUGAAAAGUACAGGGCUAACACCUCUGUAUCUUGACCUAACCCACAGAAAAAGCACCGGCUAACUCUGUGCCACAC